CCUAGCGUUUUGCCUUCUGCUACUCUCGUAGUUCGAUGGUGAAAUCAGAGAUUCCAAGUAUAACGUCUCUCUUUCUAUUCUAAAUCUAAACCUUAUGUUUCUCUGUGAUUGUGUAAAGGUUCUAGUAAGUUGAUUGCUUGGAAAAAGGAUGCAAUCUGUUCAUUCAGUUUUAUUGUUUGAAGAAAGGAAGCACUUAGUUCAAUAUGGAACUUUGAGUGAGAUGAUACUACAAGAGCUACUAGGGACGUGAAUGCGCAAAGAGACAACCCAACUGUAACAUGAGCCCUUUUUAUUGGACUAGCUGAUAUUUAGAUGUAGAUCAUGGUUAUUAAAAAAAAGCUAGUUAGUGUGCUUUUGUAAGGGAUACUGAGCGUUCUGGAAUAACUAAGCAUGCCACAUCAGCCUAAUAACAAGUGAAACACUGCGUCGCCUAGUUAUUGGGGGCGCCAUUCAAUAUCUCGUCAUUCAGUUAACAAUGGGCAAAGGAAAAAAGAUGGGGUCCAUGCCUUUUUCAACAAUCACAUGCCUUUUUUCUUUACUUAUUGGUAUUGGGUGUUUAGUUAUUCCACUAUACCUAGUUAUUGGAUGUUUAGUUAUUGCUCAGAUUUUUACAUGGCAAUGACAUGACGAUGAUAUGGCACUGGUUUAGUUAUUCCACAAUAAAUAGUCUAAUAAUCUAUUAGGCUUUAU
This 690-nucleotide long non-coding RNA is filed under the name Helianthus annuus (common sunflower). RNAcentral describes it as "hypothetical non coding rna". The record is from RNAcentral. Lineage: Eukaryota; Viridiplantae; Streptophyta; Magnoliopsida; Asterales; Asteraceae.